Stegodyphus mimosarum is the source of this 76-nucleotide non-coding RNA. The record is from Rfam. NCBI's taxonomy places the organism in Eukaryota, Metazoa, Arthropoda, Arachnida, Araneae, Eresidae.
GCCUUCGUGGUGUAAUAAUGGUCAGCACACUGAGCCGGAAUUUCAGAGGUCCGUGGUUCGAUUCCCGGCGAAGGCC